CACGCCGUAAACGAUGGAUACUAGCUGUUGGAGGUAACUUCAGUGGCUAAGCGAAAGUGAUAAGUAUCCCACCUGGGGAGUACGAACGCAAGUUUGAAACUCAAAGGAAUUGACGGGGGCCCGCACAAGCGGUGGAGCAUGUGGUUUAAUUCGAUGAUACGCGAGGAACCUUACCAAGGCUUAAAUGUAGAUUGACCGAUUUGGAAACAGAUCUUUCGCAAGACAAUUUACAAGGUGC
Molecule: ribosomal RNA, 238 nt
Filed under: uncultured bacterium
Lineage: Bacteria
Also listed under: 1 other name
Description: partial 16S ribosomal RNA
Rfam family: Bacterial small subunit ribosomal RNA
Source: RNAcentral